This 90-nucleotide small RNA is filed under the name Leeuwenhoekiella aestuarii. RNAcentral describes it as "Leeuwenhoekiella sp. R-48165 Flavo-1 RNA". It matches the Rfam family "Flavo-1 RNA". Lineage: Bacteria; Pseudomonadati; Bacteroidota; Flavobacteriia; Flavobacteriales; Flavobacteriaceae. The record is from RNAcentral.
UUCGAUGCGUAAGGGAUAGCAGCGGCAUCCUUUUUUGAGGCUUUUUUUGAAAAGGAAUAUAAAAAGAUAUAGCGGAUAGCCUGGUUGUAA